RNAcentral lists this long non-coding RNA (3142 nucleotides) under Xyrichtys novacula (pearly razorfish). The record is from RNAcentral. Lineage: Eukaryota; Metazoa; Chordata; Actinopteri; Labriformes; Labridae.
UAACAGAGAAGUGUUUUUACUUAGGGUGGUAACACACAAAGACAUUGACAACAAAAACUUGUAUGUGCAAAAAAUAUCGGGGCUGGGUAUUGGCAAGGACAUCACAAUUAAUAGAAGGAAUUAUUCUUAUUGUUAAUCAUGAGUUUACUGUGAGGCGCUAGUUGCCUAAAAAUAAAGGAAAACCACACAAGUAGGGUCUCGAUGAAGUGGAAGAGAAUCUGAUCCACAUGCAACAUAGUGCUUGUGUUCAGCACAAUACCGAGCUGUACUGCAAACCACUCAAGCACAGUGAGCUUUCACUCAACGUACCUCCCAUAGGGUUAGAGCUCUGCACAGUACAAGGUUGUCUCAGCUGUUAACCUCCUCCUCUUUCCUCUCUCUCCUCCUCUUUUUCCCAUGCUCUAUUGUGUCUAGGCUGACAACUGCCCCAACAGGCCUGUGGGUGGGAGGCUCAGCAGGCGAGUAUCUGAGCGUACAUCCUCUGACACUCAAGUCAAAUGUCUUGUGUUUGGAAUCUGCUGCCGGCUCCCCAGAGAGCCAGCCUGCCCCAAACACAUCUUGCAUAAAAUAGCCAAACUGAACUGGGGUAAGGAUGACAGAUGGAGGGACAGAGGAGAGAUGGUGGAGACAUGAGGAAAAUGAGUCAAAAUUUCUUCUUUCUGUCAAAAUAAUAAAUAAAACACACACUUAAAGCUAAUAUGCAAGGCGGUCUGAUAACCUCAGAUGAGAAAUCACUUUAAAUGUGGGUCUUUUUAUUCCACCAGAAAGGGCUGAAAAUCUCCUGAGCCCUUAAAUCUCUGGAUUACUCCCAUCGUUCUAAUUUAGACGUAGCCUCAAGCAAAGAGCAGGCUAAUUUCCUUGUGUCAAAAUUAAUGAAGAAGAUAAUUUGCUACAACGGAGGAAAAAGCACAUGCAUUGCAUGAGCACAUGCCCAAUUCACACAAGCAGGAACUCUCAGACUAUCCUUUAAAUGAACCCCAAAUGGGGCCAGAGAGUGAAGAGAGCUUCCUGCAGCUGAAACAGAAACUAGGUUAGUGCAUCAGCAGUGAAACAUGUGGGAUUUGACACUCCUCUACAAAAAGGUCUUGGAUCUCAGCGUGCAAAAAGCAGCUGUAAUCAGUUCAUGAGAAAUUCUGCAAACGGCAGCUUAGACUUUUAUUUUACCACUUGAAACCUAAUGUUCCCCUUAUUUCUGUCAAAUUUACCCCUAAGUGGUUUCAAAGUAAGAUGAAACACACUGUUCUGCAACACUGAAGUUUCAUUUAGACUAUAUCACGCCAACGCAGGGGGAACUGGGAUAGAAAAUAAAAACCUCAGAACAUAUGAAUAUGAAAACCUGUGUUUGAAAUUGGAGGAGAAUGGAUUGAUGCAUUAUUCCUUUGCCUGACAGUAGUUAGUAAUAGUGAAACUGAGAAUGGCUCGGUGGUAUUUAAGACUAAAAUUACCAAUAAAAUUAAAAAGUCAUGAUGCUGAGGGGAUGUUUGUUUCGCAUGGUAGAUUAAUCUAAAACUAUUCAAUUAUGUCUUCUUUCUUAUUUUAUCAUCUAAAAGUGGGCUUGGUCCUGUACACUGUGUGACCAAUGCACUGGUUUAAAGCGCAGAGCUGGGUGUGCUACCAGAGCGUGCUACCAGACACAGUGUUAUAGACCAGGCUUGCAGCGCCACCUCUCGACAGCUUUGCUGCUUGAUAAGGUUAGACCUGAUCAGACCUGGUUUUUGUUGGCCCAAGGCACAGCCCUGUCCUCUCCAACCACAUCCUCAUAAAGUUAAUUUGUUAUUGACAGAGCUUGGGUACUGGUCAUGAAAAUGAUGACUACGUCAAUGACACCUCCACAGUUUAAAAGCUGCUGAAACACUUUGUGUCUGUUGCGCAAUAGGGGCCUCUGUUUUAGCAUCAUCCACAGUAAUAGCUAACACUUUAGUUCUCACAAAAUAAACUGACUUUGUUUUUGUUUACGGCACUCAAUUUUACAUCAACUGCAUGAACCAGAGUCGCAGCAAAGUCUGUUCUUUGGCCUUGUUAGUGUCAUUGUCCACAAAUCCUUUUUUGAAAUCAGUGUUUUGACAGUGUUCUGUGAAGUGUUCCUCACUGUCCGUCAUGGGAAAAGGCGAUCCCUCGGUGACAGAGCCUUCAGUGUGGCUGCCCCUCCUCUCUGGAACUCUCUCCCCUCUGAGAUUCGCCAAGCACAGACUCUUGACUCUUUCAAGUCUGCUCUGAAGCGACACUUGUUUAUCCAGGCUUUUGGUAUCUAGUUAUUUUUAUCGUAGUGUGUUGUUAAGCGCUUUGGGUAUCUUGAAAGUCGCUAUACAAAUGCAAAAAAUGAUUAUUAUUAUUAUUAUUAAGUGUUUACUUUAUACACGAGUAAACCAAUAUACAAAGACCAAUAUACAAAAUACACAGAUUUGGUAUGUUUGCCUUUCAUAGCCAGUUUUUGUCUUUAAAUUCUGGAUUUUCUCUGCUUUUGCUGUCAUAGGAAGACAUCUGCUAAUAAAAUACUGAAAUGACAUUUCCUCCCAAUAUUUCCCUAUAUCCUUGGGCUUGAGUAAUCUCUAUUUUGCCAGCCUUAUUCCUCCCCAUCCAUACCUCCUAUUCAUAACUACAAAAGAAAUUGAGUAGAGAGAAAUGAAAUGCUUCAUUUAGGUUGAUCAGAUCUGUCCAUUUCUUUCAAACGGCAGGGCAAACUACUUUCUUUGUAUGUGCUCACUCUAAGAUUUUGCUGCAGGCUUACAAGACAUGAAUAUCUCCUUCACAGUUCCCAUGCAUCAGAUUGAAAGAAAAGUGGAGCACUCACAUCCAAGACCAACCUUUCUGGAGGCUAAUAAAAGAAAAGACAUUCAUCUGGGAAUGUAUUCACAUUGUAAAUGGGGAGUAAUGAGGUGGGAAACGAAGACCAUGGAUGGAUGAACUUUGUGUCGAGAGGCUGGGUAUCAGUACCAGGGAACAGGUUGGAGCGGAAGGAAGGAUACGGGUGAGUAUGAUGGUUGAUGGAUAGAUGUAGAAAGUGAGGCGUGGAGGGGGAGCAGAGGGGCUCUAUCUGCCUGCUGCCUCUCCCUAUAGGAACAGCUGUCUCCCAGACUGCAACAGAUGUAGAUUCACAGAGGGGAAAGACAUGAUCUGACAACUCCCCUGGACUUUCCUGCAC